CACAGCCACGCUCGGACUGCAGGGCCCCGGCCCCGCCUUGGCGCGUCUGAAGGAUGCGGCUCUGCCCCGGAGCUGAGGAGACGUAGCCUUUUGCGGUGGAUGCAGAUGACGUCAUGACUAAAGAGGAACAGAUCUUCCUGCUGCACCGUGCUCAGGCCCAGUGUGAAAAACGGCUCAAGGAGGUCCUGCAGAGGCCAGCCGACAUAAUGGAAUCAGACAAGGGAUGGACAUCUGCGUCCACAUCAGGGAAGCCCAGGAAAGAUAAGGCAUCUGGGAAGCUCUACCCUGAGUCUGAGGAGGACAAGGAGGCACCCACUGGCAGCAGGUACCGAGGGCGCCCCUGUCUGCCGGAAUGGGACCACAUCCUGUGCUGGCCACUGGGGGCACCAGGUGAGGUGGUGGCUGUGCCCUGUCCGGACUACAUUUAUGACUUCAAUCACAAAGGCCAUGCCUACCGACGCUGUGACCGCAAUGGCAGCUGGGAGCUGGUGCCUGGGCACAACAGGACGUGGGCCAACUACAGCGAGUGUGUCCAAUUUCUCACCAAUGAGACUCGUGAACGGGAGGUGUUUGACCGCCUGGGCAUGAUUUACACCGUGGGCUACUCCGUGUCCCUGGCGUCCCUCACCGUAGCUGUGCUCAUCCUGGCCUACUUUAGGCGGCUGCACUGCACGCGCAACUACAUCCACAUGCACCUGUUCCUGUCCUUUAUGCUGCGCGCCGUGAGCAUC
This 731-nucleotide small RNA is filed under the name Pongo abelii (Sumatran orangutan). RNAcentral describes it as "processed transcript". Lineage: Eukaryota; Metazoa; Chordata; Mammalia; Primates; Hominidae. The record is from RNAcentral.